UAGGGAAUCUUCGGCAAUGGACGGAAGUCUGACCGAGCGAUGCCGCGUGAGCGAAGAAGGUCUUCGGAUCGUAAAGCUCUGUUAUGAGGGAAGAAGGACGUAGGCAGGCAAUGGCCUACGGGUGACGGUACCUCAUGAGGAAGCCACGGCUAACUACGUGCCAGCAGCCGCGGUAAUACGUAGGUGGCGAGCGUUGUCCGGAAUUAUUGGGCGUAAAGGGUGCGUAGGCGGUCCGUUAAGUCUAGUUUGAAAGACCACGGCUUAACCGUGGGAGGGGAUUAGAAACUGGCGGACUUGAGGGUAAGAGAGGAAGGUGGAAUUCCACGUGUAGCGGUGAAAUGCGUAGAGAUGUGGAGGAACACCAGUGGCGAAGGCGGCCUUCUGGCUUACCCCUGACGCUGAGGCACGAAAGCGUGGGGAGCAAACAGG
This 429-nucleotide ribosomal RNA is filed under the name uncultured bacterium. Its description in RNAcentral is "bacterial SSU rRNA". It matches the Rfam family "Bacterial small subunit ribosomal RNA", at positions 355 to 776 of the family's 1533-position model. The record is from RNAcentral.